RNAcentral lists this ribosomal RNA (301 nucleotides) under uncultured bacterium. RNAcentral's name for it is "partial 16S ribosomal RNA". It matches the Rfam family "Bacterial small subunit ribosomal RNA", at positions 509 to 807 of the family's 1533-position model. The record is from RNAcentral.
CAGUCGCCGCGGGAAUACGUAGGGUGCGAGCGUUAAUCGGAAUUACUGGGCGUAAAGCGUGCGCAGGCGGUUGUGUAAGACAGGUGUGAAAUCCCCGGGCUUAACCUGGGAACUGCGCUUGUGACUGCACAGCUAGAGUAUGGCAGAGGGGGGUGGAAUUCCACGUGUAGCAGUGAAAUGCGUAGAGAUGUGGAGGAACACCGAUGGCGAAGGCGGCCAUCUGGGACAACACUGACGCUGAGGCACGAAAGCGUGGGGAGCAAACAGGAUUAGAUACCCCUGUAGUCCCUGUCUCUUAUAC